CCUACGGGUGGCAGCAGUGAGGAAUAUUGGUCAAUGGGCGCGAGCCUGAACCAGCCAAGUAGCGUGAAGGAUGACUGCCCUACGGGUUGUAAACUUCUUUUAUAAAGGAAUAAAAUUAGACACGUGUACCUUUUUGUCUGUACUUUAUGAAUAAGGAUCGUCUAACUCCGUGCCAGCAGCCGCGGUAAUACCGAGGAUCCGAGGGUUAUCCGGAUUUAUUGGGUUGAAAGGGAGCGUAUAUGGGUUGUUAAGUCAGUUGUGAAAUUUUGCGGUCUAACCCUAAAAUUGCAAUUGAUACUGGAAGUCUUGAGUACAGUUGAGGUAGGCGGAAUUCGUGGUGUAGCGGUGAAAUGCUUAGAUAUCACGAAGAACUCCGAUGGCGAAGGCAGCUUACUAAACUGACACUGACAUUGAUGCACGAAAGCGUGGGUAGCAAACAGGAUUAGAUACCCGGGUAGUC
Molecule: ribosomal RNA, 460 nt
Filed under: uncultured bacterium
Lineage: Bacteria
Description: partial 16S ribosomal RNA
Rfam family: Bacterial small subunit ribosomal RNA
Source: RNAcentral